This 508-nucleotide ribosomal RNA is filed under the name uncultured Glomus. RNAcentral describes it as "SSU rRNA". It matches the Rfam family "Eukaryotic small subunit ribosomal RNA", at positions 569 to 1081 of the family's 1831-position model. Lineage: Eukaryota; Fungi; Glomeromycota; Glomeromycetes; Glomerales; Glomeraceae. The record is from RNAcentral.
CGCAGCCGCGGUAAUUCCAGCUCCAAUAGCGUAUAUUAAAGUUGCUGCAGUUAAAAAGCUCGUAGUUGAAUUUCGGGAUCAAUAUGUUGGUCGUGCCUUGGUACGUACUAGCUUAUUGGUUUCUCCCUUCUGACGAACCAUGAUGUCAUUAAUUUGGUGUCAUGUGGAAUCAGGACUGUUACUUUGAAAAAAUUAGAGUGUUUAAAGCAGGCUCACGCUUGAAUACAUUAGCAUGGAAUAAUGAAAUAGGACGUUUGAUUCUAUUUUGUUGGUUUCUAGGAUCGACGUAAUGAUUAAUAGGGAUAGUUGGGGGCGUUAGUAUUCAAUUGUCAGAGGUGAAAUUCUUGGAUUUAUUGAAGACUAACUACUGCGAAAGCAUUUGCCAAGGAUGUUUUCAUUAAUCAAGAACGAAAGUUAGGGGAUCGAAGACGAUCAGAUACCCUCGUAGUCUUAACCAUAAACUAUGCCGACUAGGGAUCGGAUGAUGUUAAUUUUUANGUACUCAUUC